RNAcentral lists this ribosomal RNA (617 nucleotides) under uncultured Actinomycetes bacterium. RNAcentral describes it as "bacterial SSU rRNA". It matches the Rfam family "Bacterial small subunit ribosomal RNA", at positions 104 to 720 of the family's 1533-position model. The record is from RNAcentral. Lineage: Bacteria; Bacillati; Actinomycetota; Actinomycetes.
GGGUGAGUAACACGUGAGUAACCUGCCCCCUUCUUUGGGAUAACGGUCGGAAACGGCUGCUAAUACCGGGUAUUCACUGUCCUUCGCAUGGGGGGUGGUGGAAAGGUUUUUUCUGGUGGGGGAUGGGCUCGCGGCCUAUCAGCUUGUUGGUGGGGUGAUGGCUUACCAAGGCUUUGACGGGUAACCGGCCUGAGAGGGUGACCGGUCACAUUGGGACUGAGAUACGGCCCAGACUCCUACGGGAGGCAGCAGUGGGGAAUAUUGCACAAUGGGCGAAAGCCUGAUGCAGCGACGCCGCGUGAGGGAUGACGGCCUUCGGGUUGUAAACCUCUUUCGCUCAUGGUCAAGCCGCAACAGUGGUUGUGGUGAGGGUAGUGGGUAAAGAAGCACCGGCUAACUACGUGCCAGCAGCCGCGGUAAUACGUAGGGUGCGAGCGUUGUCCGGAAUUAUUGGGCGUAAAGGGCUUGUAGGCGGUUUGUCGCGUCUGCCGUGAAAUCCUCUGGCUUAACUGGGGGCGUGCGGUGGGUACGGGCAGGCUUGAGUGCGGUAGGGGAGACUGGAACUCCUGGUGUAGCGGUGGAAUGCGCAGAUAUCAGGAAGAACACCGGUGGCGAAG